UUGACAACUCUAGAGAUAGAGCUUUCCCCUUCGGGGGACAAAGUGACAGGUGGUGCAUGGUUGUCGUCAGCUCGUGUCGUGAGAUGUUGGGUUAAGUCCCGCAACGAGCGCAACCCUUAAGCUUAGUUGCCAUCAUUAAGUUGGGCACUCUAAGUUGACUGCCGGUGACAAACCGGAGGAAGGUGGGGAUGACGUCAAAUCAUCAUGCCCCUUAUGAUUUGGGCUACACACGUGCUACAAUGGACAAUACAAAGGGCAGCGAAACCGUGAGGUCAAGCAAAUCCCAUAAA
Molecule: ribosomal RNA, 290 nt
Filed under: Staphylococcus aureus
Lineage: Bacteria; Bacillati; Bacillota; Bacilli; Caryophanales; Staphylococcaceae
Description: partial 16S ribosomal RNA
Rfam family: Bacterial small subunit ribosomal RNA
Source: RNAcentral